GAGGGUAUGGCUCAGUGGUAGAGUGCAGUGCUUAGCAUGCACAAGGGCCUGAGUUCAAUUCCCAGUACCUCCA
This 73-nucleotide transfer RNA is filed under the name Camelus bactrianus (Bactrian camel). It matches the Rfam family "tRNA". From Rfam's summary of the family: Transfer RNA (tRNA) molecules are approximately 80 nucleotides in length. Their secondary structure includes four short double-helical elements and three loops (D, anti-codon, and T loops). Further hydrogen bonds mediate the characteristic L-shaped molecular structure. tRNAs have two regions of fundamental functional importance: the anti-codon, which is responsible for specific mRNA codon recognition, and the 3' end, to which the tRNAs corresponding amino acid is attached (by aminoacyl-tRNA synthetases). tRNAs cope with the degeneracy of the genetic code in two manners: having more than one tRNA (with a specific anti-codon) for a particular amino acid; and 'wobble' base-pairing, i.e. permitting non-standard base-pairing at the 3rd anti-codon position. Lineage: Eukaryota; Metazoa; Chordata; Mammalia; Artiodactyla; Camelidae. RNAcentral also lists the same sequence under 2 other names. The record is from Rfam by way of RNAcentral.